UACGUAGGGUGCAAGCGUUGUCCGGAAUUAUUGGGCGUAAAGGGCUCGUAGGCGGUUUGUCGCGUCGGGAGUGAAAACUCAGGGCUUAACCCUGAGCCUGCUUCCGAUACGGGCAGACUAGAGGUAUGCAGGGGGAGAAUGGAAUUCCUGGUGUAGCGGUGAAAUGCGCAGAUAUCAGGAGGAACACCGGUGGCGAAGGCGGUUCUCUGGGCAUGUCCUGACGCUGAGGAGCGAAAGUGUGGGGAGCGAACAGG
RNAcentral lists this ribosomal RNA (254 nucleotides) under uncultured bacterium. RNAcentral's name for it is "partial 16S ribosomal RNA". It matches the Rfam family "Bacterial small subunit ribosomal RNA", at positions 524 to 776 of the family's 1533-position model. The record is from RNAcentral.